RNAcentral lists this ribosomal RNA (1150 nucleotides) under uncultured archaeon. RNAcentral's name for it is "bacterial SSU rRNA". It matches the Rfam family "Archaeal small subunit ribosomal RNA", at positions 274 to 1429 of the family's 1478-position model. The record is from RNAcentral.
CAUUGAGAGAUGUUGCCCGGAGAUGGACUCUGAGACACGAUAUCGGGCCCUACGGGGCGCAGCAGGCGCGAAAUCUUCACAAUGUGCGAAAGCACGAUGAGGGGAUCCCAAGUGCUGGCACGUAAGUGUCAGCUGUUUCUUUGUCUAAAAAACAAAGAGAGUAAGAGCUGGGUAAGACGAGUGCCAGCCGCCGCGGUAAUACCUGCAGCUCAAGUGGUGGCCGCUAUUAUUGGGCCUAAAACGUCCGUAGCCGGUUUAGUAAAUGCUUGGGUAAAUUGUGUAGCUUAACUAUACGAAUACCGGGUAGACUGCUAAACUUGGGACCGGGAGAGGCUAGAGGUACUCCUAGGGUAGAGGUGAAAUUCUGUAAUCCUAGGGGGACCACCAGUGGCGAAGGCGUCUAGCUAGAACGGGUCUGACGGUGAGGGACGAAGCCCUGGGGCGCAAACCGGAUUAGAUACCCGGGUAGUCCAGGGUGUAAACGCUGCUUGCUUGAUGUUAGUUGGGCUCCGAGCCCAACUAGUGUCGGAGAGAAGUUGUUAAGCAAGCUGCCUGGGAAGUACGGUCGCAAGACUGAAACUUAAAGGAAUUGGCGGGGGAGCACAGCAACGGGUGGAGCGUGCGGUUUAAUUGGAUUCAACGCCGGAAAUCUCACCGGAGGCGACGGUUAUAUGAAGGCCAGGCUGAUGACCUUGCCUGAUUUUCCGAGAAGUGGUGCAUGGCCGUCGUCAGUUCGUACCGUGAGGCGUUCUGUUAAGUCAGACAACGAACGAGACCCUCAUCUUUAGUUGCUACUAGUAAGUCCGCUUAUUAGGCACACUAAAGAAACCGCUGGCGAUAAGUCAGAGGAAGGUGAGGGCAACGGUAGGUCAGUAUGCCCCGAAUCCUCCGGGCUACACGCGCGCUACAAAGGCUAGGACAAUGGGCUUCAACACCGAAAGGUGACGGUAAUCCCGAAACCUAGUCGUAGUUCGGAUUGAGGAUUGAAACUCAUCCUCAUGAAGCUGGAAUCCGUAGUAAUCGCGGGUCAACAUCCCGCGGUGAAUAUGCCCCUGCUCCUUGCACACACCGCCCGUCAAACCAUGCGAGUUGGGUCUGAGUGAGGAUGUAGUUUUUGCUACGUUCAAACUUUGGCUUAGUAAGCGGGGUU